Molecule: transfer RNA, 73 nt
Filed under: Candidatus Microgenomates bacterium
Lineage: Bacteria; Candidatus Microgenomatota
Description: tRNA-Thr
Rfam family: tRNA
About the family: Transfer RNA (tRNA) molecules are approximately 80 nucleotides in length. Their secondary structure includes four short double-helical elements and three loops (D, anti-codon, and T loops). Further hydrogen bonds mediate the characteristic L-shaped molecular structure. tRNAs have two regions of fundamental functional importance: the anti-codon, which is responsible for specific mRNA codon recognition, and the 3' end, to which the tRNAs corresponding amino acid is attached (by aminoacyl-tRNA synthetases). tRNAs cope with the degeneracy of the genetic code in two manners: having more than one tRNA (with a specific anti-codon) for a particular amino acid; and 'wobble' base-pairing, i.e. permitting non-standard base-pairing at the 3rd anti-codon position.
Source: RNAcentral
GCCAUCCUAGCUCAGUUGGUAGAGCAGCCGCCUUGUAAGCGGCAGGUCAUCGGUUCGAGCCCGAUGGAUGGCU